AACGAACGCUGGCGGCGUGGAUUAGGCAUGCAAGUCGAACGCGAAAGAGGGGGUAACUCCUCGAGUAGAGUGGCGAACGGGUGAGUAACACGUGAGAAACCUGCCUUCAGCAGGGGGAUAACACUCCCAACGGGGUGCUAAUACCGCAUGAGACCACGGAUUCGCAUGGAUCUGGGGUCAAAGGUGGCCUCUGCUUGCAAGCUACCGGCUGAAGAUGGUCUCGCGCCCAUUAGCUAGUUGGUGGGGUAAUGGCCCACCAAGGCGACGAUGGGUAGCUGGUCUGAGAGGAUGGUCAGCCACACUGGGACUGAGAUACGGCCAGACUCC
This 327-nucleotide ribosomal RNA is filed under the name uncultured bacterium. RNAcentral's name for it is "bacterial SSU rRNA". It matches the Rfam family "Bacterial small subunit ribosomal RNA", at positions 29 to 339 of the family's 1533-position model. The record is from RNAcentral.